This is an RNA transcript of Gossypium arboreum, 1617 nucleotides long. It is a transcript of the gene named translocon-associated protein subunit alpha-like, with no coding region annotated. The record is from RefSeq and is a predicted model, not a curated record. NCBI's taxonomy places the organism in Eukaryota, Viridiplantae, Streptophyta, Magnoliopsida, Malvales, Malvaceae. The transcript has 9 exons.
UUUUUGCUGUUUUUAGAAUUUCCUCUAGUGGGCAGUGUUAUUUAAAGCAGCGAUUGAGAAAAUGGCAGACUUGAUCUGUGUUCAGCUCUCUGUUAUUUGGGUCUGAUAUAAUUUAUUGGCGUUGGAAACGUCAGCCAGCCACCCUUCAUUGGUACAUACUUCUUGCAGACCAUCAUUUCUUUCUUUUUAUUACCAUCAUUUUCUUUAACCAAAUAUGAAACUCUCGAAGAUGGCUAUGGAAAGUUUCAGGGUUUUCUUCUUUGUUCUACUCUUCGCUGCCUCUCCUCUUCUCCAAGUUGCUAGGUGUCAAUCAGAAGCAGACGUAGAUGUUGCUGAAGCUGUUGAAGGAGGUGAGCUUGGGAUUGUUGGCGAGGAUGUUCAGGAUUUUGGUGAUGGGAAUUUUGGCCCAGCGCCGGGAGUUGAAACUGUAUUCAUUUUCCCCAAAAAUAGUGCGAAAUUGGUUGUGGCUGGAGAAGAGACUGAACUUUUAGUUGGGAUGGAAAAUUUCAUUUGCUAGAUUUCAAUGCUUACCAGUUUUGCAUUAGCCAUGCCAGUCCUCUCUUAUGCUUAGGGGUCACCUUUAAAUAUCAUUGCAAUCCAAGCAAGUGUUCAUCUCCCUUUCGAUCAUCGAAUGCUUGUACAAAAUCUUACAGCGCAGACCUUCAACAAAGCAUCUGUGUCCCCUUCAGUGCAAGCUACUUUCCCUUACAUGUUUGCUGUUAGCAGGUACUUACAGCCCGGAACUUUUGAUCUUGUGGGUACGAUCGUCUAUGAAAUUCACCAGAAACCAUACCAAAAUACAUUCUACAAUGGUACCGUUGAAGUUGUUGAGGCUGGUGGUUUCCCAAGUGUUGAGUCUGUUUUUCUUGUUACCCUUGGGAUUGCACUUCUUGUUCUCCUCGCCUUAUGGCUUCAUGGUCAACUUCAGCUUACUACAAAGAAAACUAAGAAUGCUCCAAAGGUGGAAGUCGGAACUGGGACUACUGAUGCCUCAUUGGAUGAAUGGCUUCAGGGAACUGCUUACACUCAGUCAGCUUCCAAAUCAAAGAAAAAGAAGUAGAUGGGGCAGUGUUUCUGAAGUUAGGCUAUUGCAACACAUGCUAGGCAUUUGGAAAAUUUCAAAGUGAAGGCACAAGUAGUUUGAGAAUUAGGCCAGGAAAAGGCAUACCUUGCUGUUGUAGCAUGUGAAAUUAAGCCUUUUUGAAGCAAAAAGGUUGUGGUAGAUAAAAAUUCUUGCUCAUGGAUUCCGGGUUUUGCUUGAUUGGUCUAUACAAUUUCUCUCUCAAAAGAUUCCAAAGUCUAAUGGUUGUUGGUCGAUGUUUCUUGGACGGGAACGAUAGUCAAUCCGUUAAGAUCAUCAGUUUUUGGUUUGAUUUGUUCGUUCAGUUCAAAGUAAACAAAUUUAUUACAAAUUUUAAAAAUAUAUAAAAUCUAGUUUAAUCGCUUUGUACUAAUUCGUGGGUCAAGUUUUUGUUAGAUCAGUCCAAACAACAUUGUUGUUUGUAGUAUCAUCCUUUAUUUUUAAACAUGAUGGAGCAUAAAGGUUGGGACUUUAAAUUUUGUUGAAGGCUAAUCGUAUUUUUAAUGAUGAAUGAUCUCGUCGUAUUAUUCUUACAA